GCACGCUCGUUCAUAUUCAUUCUCUCUUGUGCACCUUUAGCUAGACUAUGAAUACCUCUCGAGUGAAAAUCUCGGAUUGAGGGCUGCGCUUGACCGUGCUUCCCUUGCAUUUUCAUAGUCUAUGUCUUCAUAUACCCUUUGUAUGUCUUUGAAUGUCUUUUUUGUGGGUCUUUGACCUAUAAAAUCUAGUACAACUUUCAACAACGGAUCUCUUGGCUCUCGCAUCGAUGAAGAACGCAGCGAAAUGCGAUAAGUAAUGUGAAUUGCAGAAUUCAGUGAAUCAUCGAAUCUUUGAACGCACCUUGCACCCUUUGGUAUUCCGAAGGGUAUGCCUGUUUGAGUGUCAUUAUAUUCUCAACCAUUGAACUUGUUUCUCUGGCUUGGAUGUGGGGGUUGCGGGCUUCGCAAGAGGUCGGCUCUCCUUAAAUGCAUUAGUGGAAACCGCUUGCAGGAUUCAUUCACUUUUUGGCGUGAUAGUAUCGUCGUCAAAGGUAGUGUCUCCGAGGUAUCUGCUUUCUAACUGUCCUUUACGGGACUCUUAAUGACUUGUUUGACCUCAAAUCAGGUAGGACUACCCGCUGAACUUAAGCAUAUCAAUAAGCGGAGGAAAAGAAACUAACAAGGAUUCCCCUAGUAACUGCGAGUGAAGAGGGAAAAGCUCAAAUUUAAAAUCUGGCAGUCAUAUGGCUGUCCGAGUUGUAAUUUAG
Molecule: ribosomal RNA, 707 nt
Filed under: Tricholomataceae sp. SGT-2012
Lineage: Eukaryota; Fungi; Basidiomycota; Agaricomycetes; Agaricales; Tricholomataceae
Description: eukaryotic LSU rRNA
Rfam family: 5.8S ribosomal RNA (bases 193-346)
Source: RNAcentral